UAAGGAAUAUUGGUCAAUGGACGCAAGUCUGAACCAGCCAUGCCGCGUGAAGGAUGAAGGUCCUCUGGAUUGUAAACUUCUUUUAUCUGGGACGAAAACGGGAUUUUUAUCUCAAUUGACGGUACCAGAGGAAUAAGCACCGGCUAACUCCGUGCCAGCAGCCGCGGUAAUACGGAGGGUGCGAGCGUUAUCCGGAUUUACUGGGUUUAAAGGGUGCGUAGGCGGUCGUGCAAGUCGGGUGUGAAAGCCCAGGGCUCAACCCUGGAAGUGCAUUCGAUACUGCAUGGCUAGAGUCCCGGAGAGGAUGGUGGAACUCUCGGUGUAGAGGUGAAAUUCGUAGAUAUCGAGAAGAACACCGGUGGCGAAGGCGGCCAUCUGGACGGUGACUGACGCUGAGACGCGAAAGCGUGGGGAGCAAACA
RNAcentral lists this ribosomal RNA (421 nucleotides) under uncultured bacterium. Its description in RNAcentral is "bacterial SSU rRNA". It matches the Rfam family "Bacterial small subunit ribosomal RNA", at positions 355 to 774 of the family's 1533-position model. The record is from RNAcentral.